GAUGAACGCUGGCGGCGUGCCUAAUACAUGCAAGUCGAGCGAACGGACGAGAAGCUUGCUUCUCUGAUGUUAGCGGCGGACGGGUGAGUAACACGUGGAUAACCUACCUAUAAGACUGGGAUAACUUCGGGAAACCGGAGCUCAUACCGGAUAAUAUUUUGAACCGCAUGGUUCAAAAGUGAAAGACGGUCUUGCUGUCACUUAUAGAUGGAUCCGCGCUGCAUUAGCUAGUUGGUAAGGUAACGGCUUACCAAGGCAACGAUGCAUAGCCGACCUGAGAGGGUGAUCAGCCACACUGGAACUGAGACACGGUCCAGACUCCUACGGGAGGCAGCAGUAGGGAAUCUUCCGCAAUGGGCGAAAGCCUGACGGAGCAACGCCGCGUGAGUGAUGAAGGUCUUCGGAUCGUAAAACUCUGUUAUUAGGGAAGAACAUAUGUGUAAGUAACUGUGCACAUCUUGACGGUACCUAAUCAGAAAGCCACGGCUAACUACGUG
RNAcentral lists this ribosomal RNA (497 nucleotides) under uncultured bacterium. RNAcentral's name for it is "partial 16S ribosomal RNA". It matches the Rfam family "Bacterial small subunit ribosomal RNA", at positions 28 to 507 of the family's 1533-position model. The record is from RNAcentral.